This 825-nucleotide long non-coding RNA is filed under the name Trifolium pratense (red clover). Its description in RNAcentral is "long non-coding RNA (TPRA_LNC006303)". Lineage: Eukaryota; Viridiplantae; Streptophyta; Magnoliopsida; Fabales; Fabaceae. The record is from RNAcentral.
GCCGGGUGCUAUGAUCAACCUCUCUAUUUAGUAGUUUGUGGUUGUUGUUUAGCAUAUUGUUGGUCUAGUGUUGGCUACAAGACUUCUGCGUUUUUGCUUUAGUCUUGGCAUCAUUAACUGAGUUUUAGGCUCCUUUUGUGACAUUGCAUCUUGAAUUGGUUGUUUCUUUUUGUCUUUUUCGGCUUGCCUCGUUAGUAAGGCUUGUUCUUGUAUUGUUUCCUCCAACUUAGGCAUUUCUUAGUGUUUCCUCCAAUUUAGGCAUUGGUUUGGACAAUCGGUAAGUGAAAGAUCAAAGUAUGCUUCAACAGUCAAAAUGUAUACAAAUAGAACAGACAACACCGGAACUACGAGACAGAUGUUUUUUUAUUUAUUAAAAUGGUAUUAUAUGAAACACUUGAACUAGAGCAUAAGAAGUACCUAGUAGCAGGGCAAAGAAUACACUCAUGUUAGUAAGAACACUUGAAUACAAUAUAAGCAUAGUAGCACUAAACAAAGACAAAAAGCAUAGCAGUAGCCUAAAAACCCCAAAGUAGCAGGAUCACGCUAAAACAGCACUGCACAAGAAGCCAGAAUCCGGAAAAACUGCACCAGCCAUAAAAAAGCUGCUCCAGUCAAACAAUGACAUGAUUUGAGAAAAUGACAUAAUUUAAAGUAAUCAUAGUUGUCGGUGUCGUACUGGGACACCCCUAAUCUGAGGAGCGUUCGUGCUUCAUAGAGCGUGUAGGAAAUGAGGAAAUUACUACAAAUCAAUUGAUUCCGUGCUGCAACCUGCAGUGCCCGUUGCAUCCAAUUUAAGCUUCUCCAGAGGUUGUUCUAGUCUUUUAU